UACAGGGGGGGCAAGCGUUGUUCGGAAUUACUGGGCGUAAAGGGUCUGUAGGUGGCCAACUAAGUCAGACGUGAAAUCCCUCAGCUUAACUGGGGAACUGCGUCUGAUACUGGUUGGCUUGAGUGCAGGAGAGGAACGCGGAAUUCCAGGUGUAGCGGUGAAAUGCGUAGAUAUCUGGAGGAACACCGGUGGCGAAGGCGGCGUUCUGGACUGCAACUGACACUGAGGAACGAAAGCCAGGGUAGCAAACGGG
RNAcentral lists this ribosomal RNA (253 nucleotides) under uncultured bacterium. RNAcentral's name for it is "partial 16S ribosomal RNA". It matches the Rfam family "Bacterial small subunit ribosomal RNA", at positions 524 to 776 of the family's 1533-position model. The record is from RNAcentral.